RNAcentral lists this ribosomal RNA (253 nucleotides) under uncultured bacterium. RNAcentral describes it as "partial 16S ribosomal RNA". It matches the Rfam family "Bacterial small subunit ribosomal RNA", at positions 524 to 776 of the family's 1533-position model. The record is from RNAcentral.
UACGUAGGUGGCGAGCGUUGUCCGGAUUUAUUGGGUUUAAAGGGUGCGUAGGCGGCUUUGUAAGUCAGUGGUGAAAUACUCCAGCUUAACUGGAGGGGUGCCAUUGAUACUGCGGAGCUUGAGUACAGAUGAGGUAGGCGGAAUUGACGGUGUAGCGGUGAAAUGCAUAGAUAUCGUCAAGAACACCGAUAGCGAAGGCAGCUUACUGGGCUGUAACUGACGCUGAGGAGCGAAAGCAUGGGGAGCGAACAGG